CCUACGGGUGGCAGCAGUGGGGAAUAUUGCACAAUGGGGGAAACCCUGAUCCAGCGACGCCGCGUGAGUGAAGAAGUAUUUCGGUAUGUAAAGCUCUUUCAGCAGGGAAGAAACCCACCCUCCGGGGUGGCUGCCGGUACCUGACUAAGAAGCCCCGGCUAACUACGUGCCAGCAGCCGCGGUAAUACGUAGGGGGCAAGCGUUAUCCGGAUUUAUUGGGUUUAAAGGGUGCGUAGGCUGUUGGAUAAGUUAGAGGUCAAAUGUCGGGGCUUAACCCCGUGCCUGCCUCUGAUACUGUUCGACUAGAGAGCGGAUGCAGCAGGCGGAAUGAGUAGUGUAGCGGUGAAAUGCUUAGAUAUUACUCAGAACACCGAUUGCGCAGGCAGCUUGCUAAUCCGCAUCUGACGCUGAUGCACGAAAGCGUGGGUAGCGAACAGGAUUAGAUACCCUAGUAGUC
This 457-nucleotide ribosomal RNA is filed under the name uncultured bacterium. Its description in RNAcentral is "partial 16S ribosomal RNA". It matches the Rfam family "Bacterial small subunit ribosomal RNA", at positions 338 to 795 of the family's 1533-position model. The record is from RNAcentral.